RNAcentral lists this non-coding RNA (117 nucleotides) under Gorilla gorilla gorilla (western lowland gorilla). Lineage: Eukaryota; Metazoa; Chordata; Mammalia; Primates; Hominidae. The record is from Rfam by way of RNAcentral.
GCCAGGCAUGGUGGCUCAUGCCUGUAAUCCUAGCACUUUGGGAGGCUGAGGCUGGUGGAUCACCUGAGGUCAGGAGUUUGAGACUAGCCUGGCCAACAUGGUGAAACCCUGUCUCUA